UUCCCCCCGGGAAAACUAGCAUAUCAAUAAGCGGAGGAAAAGAAACCAACAGGGAUUGCCUCAGUAACGGCGAGUGAAGCGGCAACAGCUCAAAUUUGAAAUCUGGGUCUUUCAGGCUCCGAGUUGUAAUUUGUAGAAGAUGCUUCGGGUGUGGCUCCGGUCUAAGUUCCUUGGAACAGGACGUCAUAGAGGGUGAGAAUCCCGUACGUGACUGGUUGCCUUCGCCCAUGUGAAGCUCUUUCGACGAGUCGAGUUGUUUGGGAAUGCAGCUCAAAAUGGGUGGUAAAUUUCAUCUAAAGCUAAAUAUUGGCCAGAGACCGAUAGCGCACAAGUAGAGUGAUCGAAAGAUGAAAAGCACUUUGGAAAGAGAGUUAAACAGUACGUGAAAUUGUUGAAAGGGAAGCGCUUGCAACCAGACUUGCACGCUGCUGAUCAUCCGGGGUUCUCCCCGGUGCACUCGGUUGCGUUCAGGCCAGCAUCGGUUUGGGUGGUUGGAUAAAGGCCUUGGGAAUGUAGCUUCUUUCGGGGAGUGUUAUAGCCCUCGGUGCAAUGCAGCCUACCCGGACCGAGGACCGCGCUUCGGCUAGGAUGCUGGCGUAAUGGUUGUAAGCGACCCGUCUUGAAACACGGACCAAGGAGUCUAACAUCUAUGCGAGUGUUUGGGUGUCAAACCCAUACGCGUAAUGAAAGUGAACGGAGGUGAGAACCCUUAAGGGUGCAUCAUCGACCGAUCCUGAUGUCUUCGGAUGGAUUUGAGUAAGAGCAUAGCUGUUGGGACCCGAAAGAUGGUGAUCUAUACUUGAAUAGGGUGAAGCCAGAGGAAACUCUGGUGGAGGCUCGCAGCGGUUCUGACGUGCAAAUCGAUCGUCAAAUUUGAGUAUAGGGGCGAAAGACUAAUCGAACCAUCUAGUAGCUGGUUCCUGCCGAAGUUCCCCUC
This 937-nucleotide ribosomal RNA is filed under the name Constrictochalara clavatospora. Its description in RNAcentral is "partial large subunit ribosomal RNA". It matches the Rfam family "Eukaryotic large subunit ribosomal RNA", at positions 24 to 974 of the family's 3401-position model. The record is from RNAcentral. Lineage: Eukaryota; Fungi; Ascomycota; Leotiomycetes; Helotiales; Hamatocanthoscyphaceae.